This 253-nucleotide ribosomal RNA is filed under the name uncultured bacterium. RNAcentral's name for it is "partial 16S ribosomal RNA". It matches the Rfam family "Bacterial small subunit ribosomal RNA", at positions 524 to 776 of the family's 1533-position model. The record is from RNAcentral.
UACAGAGGGUGCGAGCGUUAAUCGGAAUUACUGGGCGUAAAGCGUGCGUAGACGGUUAUUUAAGUCGGGUGUGAAAGCCCCGGGCUCAACCUGGGAAUUGCAUUCGAGACUCAAUAGCUAGGGUACGGUAGAGGGAAGUGGAAUUUCCGGUGUAGCGGUGAAAUGCGUAGAUAUCGGAAGGAACAUCAGUGGCGAAAGCGACUUCCUGAACCAGUACCGACGUUCAGGCACGAAAGCGUGGGGAGCAAACGGG